RNAcentral lists this ribosomal RNA (517 nucleotides) under uncultured bacterium. RNAcentral describes it as "bacterial SSU rRNA". It matches the Rfam family "Bacterial small subunit ribosomal RNA", at positions 30 to 507 of the family's 1533-position model. The record is from RNAcentral.
CGAACGCUGACGGCGUGUCUAAUACAUGCAAGUCGAACGCACUCUCGUUUAGAUUGAAGGAGCUUGCUCCUGAUUGAUAAACAUUUGAGUGAGUGGCGGACGGGUGAGUAACACGUGGGUAACCUGCCCUAAAGUGGGGGAUAACAUUUGGAAACAGAUGCUAAUACCGCAUAAAACCUAACACCGCAUGGUGUAGGGUUGAAAGAUGGUUUCGGCUACCACUUUAGGAUGGACCCGCGGUGCAUUAGUUAGUUGGUGAGGUAAAGGCUCACCAAGACCGUGAUGCAUAGCCGACCUGAGAGGGUAAUCGGCCACACUGGGACUGAGACACGGCCCAGACUCCUACGGGAGGCAGCAGUAGGGAAUCUCCCACAAUGGACGAAAGUCUGAUGGAGCAACGCCGCGUGAGUGAAGAAGGUUUUCGGAUCGUAAACUCUGUUGUUGGAGAAGAAUGUAUCUGAUAGUAACUGAUCAGGUAGUGACGGUAUCCAACCAGAAAGCCACGGCUAACUACGUG